Oreochromis niloticus (Nile tilapia) is the source of this 1494-nucleotide long non-coding RNA. RefSeq lists it as uncharacterized. The record is from RefSeq and is a predicted model, not a curated record. Lineage: Eukaryota; Metazoa; Chordata; Actinopteri; Cichliformes; Cichlidae. The transcript has 3 exons.
UUCUGUAUAUUUCAAUUGUGCAACUGGAGUCACUUGAGGCAAUCAUGUGGUGUUUGGUAGGAACACUGGUAGCCAAUAUAGGUAAUUAAGCAGCACAGCUGGAGAGAAUUGGUAGUUAUAUGCAGUCUAUAUAAGCAUAGUGAGUACAAGCAACAUUUGUGGGUUUUGUGAGGCGAUAUCAGUUAGUGAAUUUACAGCAGUUAGACAGUGAUUAGAAGGCAACUAUAGCCAGUGUGGUUGAGCAGAGCUUGUGAGAGAGUGGACUUCUGAAAGUGAGUGACUGAGGUGUGCUAGUUGGUUUGUGUGGUGUGUCUUUGAGUCUGUGUGUUUGUGGUACAGUGGAGUAGGUAGAUAGGUGGACAGGUGUAGGUGAGGGAAAUGGAUCCCAAAAUUGUGAGGGAGCUUCUGGAGUUCAAACUCCACAAUCGCUAUCCUGAAGGAUCAACCAGCAGGGAAAGGUUUACAAUCAAGAGAAGAGCUGAGACCUUCAGGAUAAAUGCUGAGUACAAUGGAUAAUGUCAUGUAAACCAUCAGAGUGUAGUAUUGUGCUUUAAUGUGACCAUUUCUUUUUUUUCUCUUUUUUCUUGUCUUGCCUUACAUGCUUAAUGUAGAUGGAGACCUGUAUUAUGUAUGCAGGCGGAAGAAGAACAAAACUGAGCACCUGGCAAAAGUGGUCUGCUCUGCCAAAGAGGCAAAUGACAUUUUUGAGGAAUUUCAUUCCUGCCACUUUGGUGGACACUGUGGAUGGGAGAAGACCCACAGUGCUGUCAUGGCACGCUAUUACUGACCUGGCAUGGAGGGAGACAUUAAAAAAUGGGGGAGCACAUUUUGUCUGAAUGAGCCUCAAACUCAUUUUGAAAAUCCCCCUUUUGUGUUUGUUUGUUUUUCUGUUGUUUGUUUUUUGUCUUUUGUUUGUACUUUGUUGCUCCUGUCUAACCCAUAUUACCUACAGCUCUAAGGCAUUUUACUGAUUAUUAGCAUAUAAUAUUACUUCAUUUGUCAAUAGGUUGCUCAGUGCCCACAAUGCCAGUGUAAGUGGGCCAAUAUUAAGGAAAAGAAAGGAUACAUUCCAAUCAAGGUCACGGAGCCCUUUGAGCUCGUUGGAAUGGAUCUUGUGGGUAAACUGACCUUAAUGGAUGGUGGUAAUCAGUAUAUUUGUGUAAUGGUUGACUAUUUCACCAAAUGGGCAGAGACCUACCACUGAAAAACAAAACUGCAGAUGAGGUCGCCAGCUGUAGUCUGGAUUUUUUUUUUUUUUACAAAUUUUGUGCACCUAAAACUGCUAACAGACCAGGGCUCAGAGUUUUGCAACAAGGUCAACUAUGGCUUGUGUAAAACCCUGGGCAUCCAAAGAAGCCUCUGCUCACCAUUCCAUCCCCAAACCAAUGGCUUGGCGAAAAGAUUAAAUGGAACAAUCCAGAGGUACAAUACUGUCAUUUAUAUUUUGUGCUGUAACUAUGUCUCAACGCUGGUUAUUUAGUAUUUUGUUCUUUU